RNAcentral lists this long non-coding RNA (814 nucleotides) under Camarhynchus parvulus. Its description in RNAcentral is "lncRNA (ENSCPVG00000002037.2)". The record is from RNAcentral. Lineage: Eukaryota; Metazoa; Chordata; Aves; Passeriformes; Thraupidae.
UUCUUUGCUGGCUCAGGUACAUAGGCCUGUUAAUGAAGAGAUUUUGUAAAAAUUAACUAAUUUAGCACUGCCUUUGUUUUACUCUAGAUGGUUUUUCUGGAAUUUUUUGAAGCUCUUCUUGAAUGUGCAUUGGUGUAUGUUACUGAGGAUAUGAUCCUGAAGAAAGAAGCUCAAGAUAAUAAGAAAAGAAGUAGCUUUGAAAUCAAGGAGCUCUCUAAGGAAACCUCAGCUGUGUCUCCCACAGAACAUUCUCCACCCCAGCCACCGAGACCUGGUGAAGACACAGAGCCUGCUCCUCAACCAUCUCUACUGGAAACUCUUCUCUCAUUUCCCAUAACUCCUGGAGAAAGCAAAGAUGAUGUGUCAUUGCCAAACAAGGAUGUAAAAGAAGAACAAGAUUCCUGCCCAGAAAAGGAAUUGAUAGAUGAAGCAAAAGAAGAUAAAAAUGAACAAAAGGAGCUGUGUAGUUUCUGGAUGUGUCAGGUGGAAACCUUUUUCACAACUAAGUUGUUCCCUGCUUUUGAGCAUGAAAUAGUGCUGAGAGAUAAAAUAAAAGAAAUAAAACCCCAGCAUGCUGAAUUAGCUGAGCUGAGAAAGAUCCAGGCUGAGGAGCUGGGAAGGUGAGUGUUGAAUCUUGUCUGGCAGUACUGUUAUCCUUUAUUUUCCACCAGCAAAAUUAUUGAAAAUGAGAAGUUCAAGAAAGUACUAUAGCUUCUUGUAGCUGGAAAACAAACUCACACAGGUUUCAUUAGUAACAUAGAGAAUGUAACUCAUGUGCUUUCUGCUAUUGGCUGGAGUAAAAAAUACAGGCUGC